GAUGAACGCUAGCUACAGGCUUAACACAUGCAAGUCGAGGGGAAACGACAUCGAAAGCUUGCUUUUGAUGGUCGUCGACCGGCGCACGGCUGAGUAACGCGUAUCCAACCUGCCCAUCACUUGGGAAUAACCUUGCGAAUGUAAGACUAUUACCCAAUGAUAUCCCACGAAGGCAUCGGAAUGGGAUUAAAGUUUUAUCGGGGCUGGAUGGGGAUGCGUUUGAUUAGCUUGUUGGCGGUUUAACGGCCGACCAAGGGAACGAUCAGUAGGGGUUCUAAGAGGAAGGUGCCCCACAUUGGAACUGAGACCAUGUCCAAACAGCUACGGGAGGAAGCAGUGAGGAAUAUAGGUGAAAGGAAGAGAGCCCAAACCAGGCAAGUAGCGUGCAGGAAGACGGCCCUAUGGGUUGUGGACUGCUUUUAUAAGAGAGCAAAGUGGGUUACGUGUGACUUAUUGACUGUAACUGAUGAAUAAGGACCGGCUAAUUCCGUG
This 492-nucleotide ribosomal RNA is filed under the name uncultured bacterium. Its description in RNAcentral is "partial 16S ribosomal RNA". It matches the Rfam family "Bacterial small subunit ribosomal RNA", at positions 28 to 507 of the family's 1533-position model. The record is from RNAcentral.